RNAcentral lists this long non-coding RNA (5133 nucleotides) under Daphnia magna. RNAcentral describes it as "uncharacterized LOC116927788, transcript variant X18". Lineage: Eukaryota; Metazoa; Arthropoda; Branchiopoda; Diplostraca; Daphniidae. The record is from RNAcentral.
UAAUUUUUCUUGAUUUUUAGGUAUCUUAUUUACGAAGGAUUGAAGUAAUGAAACCGAACUUUAGGCACAGACUAAGAUUAGUCUGUGCUUUAGGUUUGCCGAAUGUGUUUCUUAAUAGAUGAUAGAUGGCGAUUGCUGUAAUAGGGAUUUAACACAGAUUCAACACAGGUAGGGGGCAGCUCAGCCGCAGCAGGUAGGGCUGGUUGUUGUGGAGCUGGUACCGAAUUGGUGUUUUUGGAAAGUUGACGUAAUAGCAGAUUCCUUAGGAACGUUUUUACGAUUUUUAAGUGUCUUAUUUACGAAGAACGAAGCUAUGAAAAUCAACUUCAGGCUUGCGAUGUUUGUGUCCGUCGCUGGAUAGCGUUUAGCUUGGAAAAGAAACAUUUUGUGUCAGAUAAAGUAACCAUAACCAUGGUAAUCUAUAAGCUAAAGAGCUAUAAGAAAGUUUGUAUACCUGUAACCGGUUUUUACGAAAUUGAAACUUAUUUAUGAAUGAUAUGGCGUGUUGAUUGGAAUAGGAAAAGUUUUGUAAAUUGAUUGGAAGGGGAAAGGUUUUGUAAACAGGUUGUUUGUCAACCAAAAAGUCGCCGGUAAGGUUUCAUGUAUUUAUACAGUUUUUAUUUUGUCGUUUUCUGUAGCUUCUUACUCCCAUUUGAAGAAUUGACAACGCAUGUCGUUCUGUGUGUCAGCAAGGUUUUUAAUAAUUUCGAUGUCACAGAAGAAUCAUGGUAAAAUGGGGAAACCACCAUUUUGCGAUCAAAUCUCCAAACCGUUAUUGCAUCUAUGUGGAAAAGAGAGCUUAAAAUGUGUCAGCAGCUAGCCUCCUUACAAGAAAAAGUAAUUCAUAUGGAUACACAGUAUUCAAAACAGCUGGAAGCAUUAAGACAGAAAUGAAGUUCAAAGUUUUUUCGUUUCAUUUUGACAAUAUUAUUUAGUCUGUGGUGGCAUUAUAUACCUUAUUUGAUAUGUGAAUAUUUUUUGGAAAGUGUUAAAACUUCUCAGAAAUUAGAUUUCGAGGAGUUACAUAACAAGUGCAAGAAGAUUGAACGAAAUGUGAAAGAGCAACACAAGAAUAAAAUACUUCCAACCUCAACUCAAGAAUCAUCAAACAAAAGAAAAUCCUAAACAGAUCUUCUUUGAAAUGGCUGAAUGUGAGGUGAACAUUCUAAAGUCAAAACAGGAAUUCAGACUGACUAUUAAACGUUUCCGUCUAAAAUCGACAGGCACUGAACAUAAUGUUUAAAGUUUGGUCUAACUACAUUAUUGCUAUGGUUGGAUUUGCAUUUCCUCAGUAGAAAUGUAACGCUACCGAUGCUGCAAUUCUGAUGGAAACGCUCAAAUUCAGCCUUCAGUCGUCCAUGUAUACAAUAACGCUAUUUCUAAUUCAACCGUUAUGGAGCUGUAAAAACUACAAAUGAUUUCCGUUGGGGUUCAAGAAAAUUUGAUAGACCUAUUCCAUGGCAGUGAAAAUGGUUAUUGAUUGCUGAGUCAGAGAACAAUAUGUAAAAUCUGACAUUCUAGCCCUCGAAACCUCAGCUGACCAUAUGCUUCAACAAGAGUAUAACGCAAUUAUAAUUUUGAGGAGGUCCCAACUCAGUUUACGCCCGGUUUACGCAGAACAUGCCCCACUUUACGACCCAGCAAUCUUUACUUGUGGUCUUCCAGUUCAGGGAAUUUGUUAUGCUCUUAUGCAUGCAAUUACUCAACAAAGAAUUAGAAAAACAAUUAUGUCAUAAAAUAAGCAGCAGUGUAUCGAUUACGUCCGGCGUAUGUUAGGGCGUAAGAUCGUGCUCGUGCUGGUAAGCGGCGAAAUCGAUUCCGCCGUUUGUGCUACCCUUCUCCAUAAAGCACUUCUACAGGGUGAGGACUCGUCGCGAGUGCAGACCAUCCAUAUCGAUAACGGUUUCCUGUGUAAAGAUGAAUCCGAGCAGGUCGUCACUAGUUUACAGCAACUCGGGCGCAAUCUUCGGACAGUGGUUUCUCAUUUCUUCUUCAUACUAGCGAUCAGAUUUGAUGUUUCGAAUUGUUUUAAGUUGUUAAAGCAAGUUUGACCUUCUACGAUGCUUUCGCCAACGUGCAUGGUCGCCAAACUUUGUCCUUGUGUUGGACUGUGAAUCCGGAAGGAAAACGUCAAAUAAUUUGCGAUACGUUUGUUAAAGUGACAGAUAGUGCGACUAACGAUUUAAAUCUUAAUUGGGAAAAUCUACGUCUCGGACGAGGUACUUGGAUGCCGGAUUCAAUUGGACUCUUUGUGCGCUGAUGCCACAAAUACUCUUAAUGAUUCCGAAAUGGUUCGUCAAUUGCGCCUUCACGGUCGUGUAGUAGAACCUAAUAAAGACUUCCAUAAAGAUGAAGUAAGAGCCUUAGGUCGCGAACUGGGUCUGCUCGCAGAAUUACUAAUGAUGAACUACUAAUCAUAAUGUCAAUCGCGUUUGCUACGUAUUCGGAAAGGCUGAAUCGGUGGCAAACGUUACACCUACCUUCUUAACGAGUAACAUUUUGGCAACUUUGAGGGAAGCGGAUUAUUUGGCAUAUAAAAUAUAACAGGAUUCGGGUUGCCAUAAGAAGCUAGCCCAGAUGCCCAUCGUCUUGAUCCCUCUUCACUUUAAUCACGAUUCGAGUCAACGCAUUCCAUUAUGCCAGCAAUCGGUCGUUUUUCCACCAUUCUUUUCACAGGAUUUGAUGACUGGACUUCCUGCAAUUCCUGAUACUUAUCUGCCCCAAGAGGUUGUAGAAGUUGAAGCCGUCUCAAAUGUUCCAGGAAUUUCCAGGGUCUUGCAUGACCUGACGGCAAAACCACCCGGGACAACGGAGUGGGAAGGAUUUGAUUUACGAACUUUACUUAGGCAAAUGAUCUCCGCACUCUUUAUAGGACGCGGAUACAGAGUUGUAUCAUUGACCAGAUUUGGAUGGAAAUAUUAUGAACAGUGGAUUCUGUAUAGACUUUUGAAAUUGAAAAUCAAUCAGCUUUACCUUAAGUGAAAAUCUCUUAAACUCGCUUUUUAAGAGGAGUUCAUGUGAUAACUUGUUGACUAUUCCUUAAAUGUACAUGCACAUUUGUUGGAAAUAAUGGGGGCAGUUGUUUUUCGUCGAACUAGGUGGGUUGUUGUUCCUCUCCUUUCUGAAACUACCCUUUUUUGCCCUAUUAUUAAUCUAAUUCUAUUGGAAACGUUCGGAUGUCGCCCAAAAACAAGCGGCCAUUUGAGGCGUUAUGCCAUUUCCUGAAAUUGAACAUUCAGAAAAUGUGGUAUAUGUUCGCAACUUGUUAAGAUUCAUUCAGAGUGGUACCAUAAAGUAUGACUGUAGGAAAGGGUACGUAGGCUUCUAAAAAUUAAAAACAGCUCUGACGUCUUUUGCAGCUAGCCAACAAUUUGCAUAACAUAAAAAAUGAGCAGUAUUAUUCGAAAAAUUUCAAAUACUUUUCUUGCAUGCGUUAGGGUGAUGCAGCUAUUAUUCCGUGUUUUUUUUUUUUUUUCGCUAUUAACAGUACAGGCUGACACUACGAGCAAUGGCAGUUUUUGUUACAAAUGUUUUAGCGCCUCGUCUUGCAACUAGUACUUGAUAUGCUAGGUUUUUAUGUUUUAAAUUGGAAUUCAACUAUUUGAGAUCAGUAAAGUUCAAGCACUUAAAAGCAAGAAUUGUACUGUUUUCGAAGUAAAAUCUAUUUCUUUCUUCUAAUUCUUUCUUUGGGUUUCAGGAAGAAAAACUAGAUGGCGUUAAUGUUCGUCUAUGAUAAAUAUUGCCAGUGACAACUAAAUUGGUGUUUGUUACGUUUCUACCCUGUUUAGUGUUUUAAAGAACUUUUCAUCAGAUAUUAACGAUAUGAUAUAAUCUGUUCAGUAUUGCUAUCGUUGUGUAUGUAUUGAAAAGCAAAUCCUUAAAAUAGAUUGUUUUUUGUAUGUGGUAAAGUAAAAGGUCAGGUAAAACAAGUAAAAGUAAGUGAAAGAUCACUAUUAAAUAGGAUUGAAUUUUGUAACUAUGCCAAGGUAACAAGCCGUCUUCUGGUAGAAAUUCUUAUGCCUUACGCCUUAGUUGUUACUGGUUGUCUGCUGAAUGUAGAUUACAAUCUAUUUUAAACAUUCUCUUGGUUACUAAACUCAGAUAUGCCACCUAUUUUUCACGAUUAUUUGCAUGGUUGACCCUCGAUUGUUGUUUGAAGGUGUAUUGUCACCAGACAUCCUUUGAAUGGUACAAUAUGUUUGCAUGUUAUUUCUUUCAGUUCAAUUUUCUGUCACACAAGGUUUUCAUUCUCCAGGUAAACCCACUAUCAGCAGCCUUACAAAGUUCUUCAUAAAUACAACCCCUGAGAAAACAUUAUCGUUGGAAAUUGUUUUUAUGUUGUGGUUGGGUUCUCCACUUUUAUUAUCCAUUUGCAAUUUUCACACUACUUCAUUAUCACCAUGGUAUGUCAAUUGCUUGAGUUUUGUUGGAAUAAUUUUUUAGGAAAUUUUUACCUACUUUUGGAAAACCUGCUUAACCUUAACUUAACUUUUGGAAAACCAGAAAAGGGAUUCUGGAAAUUGAUAAUUUCUAAUCUACACUGGUAAUCAGGUUUAUUUUUACAUGUAUAACAUAGAUCUGCAUUAAUGUUGUUUUGCUUUCCCACAAGCAGAUAACAAUAUUUAAUAUAUUUACGUUUCAGAAUGAGCUUCGAAUUUGAAGUUGAGUGUUUUAUCAGAUUACAGAUUCCGACUGAAAAUCAAACAAUUUCCUUCUACAAAUGGAUUUUGAAGUAUUAUGUGCAUGUGCAUGUGGUAUUAUGUACUCUAUGAUCCUUUAAUUGGUGAUCUACAAAAAAAAUGACCAUAGAAGGAAGUUUUUGCAGGAUCUGUUAUCGGCCGUCUAUGUUAUGCAGUAAUUGGAUCUGCAGUUUAGUUAUAGUAGAAUUUAUAUGAAAAAUGAUGUUUGAUUGGAAAAAGUUCCUGAUUGAGACAAGAGAUUUAAAAAAAUGAUACUGUUUGGAAGGACGACCGGCAAUUUCAAGAUUCAUUUAUUUCCUUCUACAUUAUACUAUUUAUAAUUUUUAAAAAAUUGAAUUGUAUAUCUGGGCUCCCUUCUUUUCUGUGGUCCCGUUUCCCCUUGACUCGUAAUAAGCCCGUAGGGGGUCAUGCCCCUACUGUGAUCAGCAGUAAA